CUACGGGCCGCUGCAGUGGGGAAUAUUGCACAAUGGAGGAAACUCUGAUGCAGCAACGCCGCGUGGAGGAUGACACUUUUCGGAGCGUAAACUCCUUUUAUAUAGGAAGAAGAUGACGGUACUAUAUGAAUAAGCGCCGGCUAACUCCGUGCCAGCAGCCGCGGUAAUACGGAGGGCGCAAGCGUUACUCGGAAUCACUGGGCGUAAAGAGCGUGUAGGCGGAUUAAAAAGUCAGAAGUGAAAUCCUAUAGCUUAACUAUAGAACUGCUUCUGAAACUCUUAAUCUAGAAUAUGGGAGAGGUAGAUGGAAUUUCUGGUGUAGGGGUAAAAUCCGUAGAGAUCAGAAGGAAUACCGAUUGCGAAGGCGAUCUACUAGAACAUUAUUGACGCUGAGACGCGAGAGCGUGGGGAGCAAACAGGAUUAGAUAACCCUUGUAGUC
This 440-nucleotide ribosomal RNA is filed under the name uncultured bacterium. Its description in RNAcentral is "partial 16S ribosomal RNA". It matches the Rfam family "Bacterial small subunit ribosomal RNA", at positions 339 to 795 of the family's 1533-position model. The record is from RNAcentral.